RNAcentral lists this ribosomal RNA (497 nucleotides) under uncultured bacterium. RNAcentral's name for it is "partial 16S ribosomal RNA". It matches the Rfam family "Bacterial small subunit ribosomal RNA", at positions 28 to 507 of the family's 1533-position model. The record is from RNAcentral.
GAUGAACGCUGGCGGCGUGCCUAAUACAUGCAAGUCGAGCGAACGGACGAGAAGCUUGCUUUUCUGAUGUUAGCGGCGGACGGGUGAGUAACACGUGGAUAACCUACCUAUAAGACUGGGAUAACUUCGGGAAACCGGAGCUAAUACCGGAUAAUAUUUUGAACCGCAUGGUUCAAAAGUGAAAGACGGUCUUGCUGUCACUUAUAGAUGGAUCCGCGCUGCAUUAGCUAGUUGGUAAGGUAACGGCUUACCAAGGCAACGAUGCAUAGCCGACCUGAGAGGGUGAUCGGCCACACGAGAACUGAGACACGGUCCAGACUCCUAAGGGAGGCAGCAGUAGGGAAUCUUCCGCAAUGGGCGAAAGCCUGACGGAGCAACGCCGCGUGAGUGAUGAAGGUCUUCGGAUCGUAAAACUCUGUUAUUAGGGAAGAACAUAUGUGUAAGUAACUGUGCACAUCUUGACGGUACCUAAUCAGAAAGCCACGGCUAACUACGUG